UGAGCAAUCUGCCCUUCUCUUCGGAAUAAGCGUUGGAAACGACGUCUAAUGCCGAAUACGACCUCUUUUCGCAUGAUCGGAGGUGGAAAGCUCCGGCGGAGAAGGAUGAGCUCGCGGCCUAUCAGCUAGUUGGUGUGGGUAAUGGCCCACCAAGGCGACGACGGGUAGCCGGCCUGAGAGGGUGACCGGCCACACUGGGACUGAGACACGGCCCAGACUCCUACGGGAGGNAG
Molecule: ribosomal RNA, 233 nt
Filed under: uncultured bacterium
Lineage: Bacteria
Description: partial 16S ribosomal RNA
Rfam family: Bacterial small subunit ribosomal RNA
Source: RNAcentral